RNAcentral lists this ribosomal RNA (1489 nucleotides) under Celestus barbouri. RNAcentral's name for it is "partial 16S ribosomal RNA". It matches the Rfam family "Bacterial large subunit ribosomal RNA", at positions 274 to 2743 of the family's 2925-position model. Lineage: Eukaryota; Metazoa; Chordata; Lepidosauria; Squamata; Diploglossidae. The record is from RNAcentral.
ACACCCACUUUCCAGCUCAACAAAAACAACUAUAUUUUCUCACCCAUUUUAACCAAACCAUUUGCCCAGGUAAGUAAAUGCGAUUGAACCUUAAACAUAUUGACGCUAUAGCAAACCAGUACCGCAGGGGAAAAAUGAAAUAUAUUAAUUCAACCAUAUGGAAAAAAAGCAGGAAUAAACCCCCGUACCUCUUGCAUCAUGAUUUAGCCAGAAACAUACAAACAAAACGCCAUUAAAGCUUGUACCCCCGAAAUCAGGUGAGCUACUUUCUAAGGCAGCCUAAUUAAGAGCCUACCCGUCUCUGUAGCAAAAGAGUGGGACGACCUGGAAGUAGAAGCGAAAAACCUAACGAACCUGAUGAUAGCUGGUUACCUAUUAAAUGAACCUUAGUUCAAUUUCAAGUUAUUAACACACCCCUUAGUAAACUUUUACACUUGAAAGCUAUUCAAUAGGGGUACAGCCCUAUUGAAACAGGAUACAACCUCACAAGGAGAACCAUAGACUACACCACCAACUAGUAGGCCCUCAAGCAGCCAUCACAAAACUUAAAGCGUCACAGCUACCUCACCAAAAAUACCCGAACAAACACCAACCUCCCUGCCAAUCAAUAGGUAAUUCUAUAACAUAGAAGAACUAAUGCUAAAAUUAGUAACAAGAAAAAUUCUCUCCGCACAUCUGUAAAUCAGCAAUAGAAUCACUACUGAUAAUUAACCAGACCCCCACUGGGUCUGACUCCUAACAUACAAGUAUUAAAAGUCUAAACCUCUGUUAACCCAACACAGGAGUGCAAACACAGAAAGAUUAAAAGUCAAAGAAGGAACUCAGCAAAAAUAUAUCCCAACUGUUUACCAAAAACAUAGCCUUUAGCCAAAAAUAUUAAAGGUCCCGCCUGCCCAGUGACACCACACGUUAAACGGCCGCGGUAUACUAACCGUGCAAAGGUAGCGUAAUCACUUGUCUCCUAAAUAGAGACCAGUAUGAAUGGCUAAAUGAGGAUAAGACUGUCUCCCAAGACUAAUCAGUAAAAUUGAUCUGCCAGUACAAAAGCUGGCAUAAACCCAUAAGACGAGAAGACCCUGUGGAGCUUUAGAUACACACCAAACAACCAUGGCACACUAUCUUUAGUUGGGGCGACUACGGAAACAAACAAAACUUCCAAGCAAAGGAAAAUUAUCCCCAAAGACGAACACGUCGACCCACAGACCCAGUACUACUGGAAAACGAACCAAGUUACCCCAGGGAUAACAGCGCUAUCUUCUUCUAGAGUCCCCAUCGCCAAGAAGGUUUACGACCUCGAUGUUGGAUCAGGAUACCCCAAUGGUGCAGCCACUAUUAAAGGUUCGUUUGUUCAACGAUUAAUAAUCCUACGUGAUCUGAGUUCAGACCGGAGAAAUCCAGGUCGGUUUCUAUCUAUGAAAAGUUUUCUUCAGUACGAAAGGACCAUGAAAACAGGACCAAUACUACCAGAACGUCCUUCCCAACAUAGCUG